Molecule: unclassified non-coding RNA, 195 nt
Filed under: uncultured fungus
Lineage: Eukaryota; Fungi
Description: sequence contains ITS1
Source: RNAcentral
GUAAUUUAUUACAUUGUUUUGCUGACGCUGAUUGCAAUUACAAAAAAGGUUUAAUUGGGUCCAAUUGGCGGGCGAACCCGCCAAGGAAACAAGUAGUACGCAAAAGACAUGGGUGAAUAUGGCAGACAGACGCCCCAAUGGGGGUCUGCCUUUCAUAUUUGUGUAAUGAUCCCUCCGCAGGUUCACCUACGGAGA